GGAAUUGUUCGCAAUGGGCGCAAGCCUGACGACGCAACGCCGCGUGGAGGAUGAAGGUCUUCGGAUUGUAAACUCCUGUUGACCGGGACGAAUGGCCUCCGACUGAAUACGUCGGUGGAAUGACGGUACCGGUUGAGGAAGCCACGGCUAACUCUGUGCCAGCAGCCGCGGUAAUACAGAGGUGGCAAGCGUUGUUCGGAAUUACCGGGCGUAAAGGGCGCGUAGGCGGCCUCGUCAGUCAGACGUGAAAUCCCCAGGCUUAACUUGGGAACUGCGUCUGAUACUACAAGGCUUGAGUGCGGGAGAGGGAUGUGGAAUUCCAGGUGUAGCGGUGAAAUGCGUAGAUAUCUGGAGGAACACCGGUGGCGAAGGCGGCAUCCUGGACCGACACUGACGCUGAGGCGCGAAAGCUAGGGGAGCAAAC
RNAcentral lists this ribosomal RNA (424 nucleotides) under uncultured bacterium. RNAcentral describes it as "bacterial SSU rRNA". It matches the Rfam family "Bacterial small subunit ribosomal RNA", at positions 358 to 773 of the family's 1533-position model. The record is from RNAcentral.